Brassica rapa (field mustard) is the source of this 2661-nucleotide long non-coding RNA. RefSeq lists it as uncharacterized. The record is from RefSeq and is a predicted model, not a curated record. NCBI's taxonomy places the organism in Eukaryota, Viridiplantae, Streptophyta, Magnoliopsida, Brassicales, Brassicaceae.
UGCCUCUCCUAAGGCUGUCCACGUGUCCAUUUAAUAAAUAAUGUGGGGCCUACUUAUUGUUCGGUUUACUUUGUCCGACUGGUUUGGGUUUGGUCUGAUUUCUGUCUUCAGUGUUUGGUCUGAUAAAUUAGUCAAACUCUGCGUAAGCGUCGCCGGAUUAGGGCUUCCAUGUUACUUUCUCUUCCAUAACUCAACCUUGCCGUCUUGGCUUUGCAGAGUCUCAUCUCUUCGCCUCCACUUAUGUAUUAAUUCUGCCAUAAUAGUUAAUCCCAUUGGAUCCAGAUUCCAUGUCGACGUCUCCCUUUCCUCAGUCUCAAAUCUAUAAAUAUGAGAUGCUGUUGUUUCGCACUCCGCGUUUGAGGCUCUCCGCGUCGAAUGAUCUGGCCAGUUCAUUGUUGUCAGUUUACUCUGUCUUUGGGACUCGAAAAACAUAAAGAAGCAUGGUGAAUUCAUGGGAAUCACUCUACUCCUUCUUGAUGAGAAGAAUUUGGUGAUACAUGGAUUCAUCCUGCUGGUCCCGCUCCUGACUACCGUCCCUCUUUUCGAGGGGGUUCAGUCGUGACCUUAACUGGAGAAAGGAAGGAGCUGUCGUACCAGUCAAAAAUCAGGGACACAUAUGUGGAAGUUAUUGGGCACUCACGGUGGUUGGAGCGGUGGACGGUAUAAACAAGAUCAAGACCGGAGAAUUGAUAUAUUUUUGGGAACGAGAAUUCAUAGACUGCUACAGAGAGGACGGCAGCGGUGUAUGUGAUGGAGUUUCACAUCUUGAGCUCGAGAGUCUGCAAACCUGACUCAUCACAUCUCACUGCCUACGGUGGUCCUCUUGAAACAUUAAUCUCUGCAUUUACAUCUUCAGCACCACUCCUCCCACUAUCUCGAAUUAACUCGGCCGUAUCAUCCUCCAAUGUAACCGAUUGAAGCUCCAUCUAUAAAUGGCUUCGUUGCUUGGGAUUAAGAGUCACAUCGAAAUGAAAUCCCAAAGAUCUCUCUCUCUCUAUCAAGCAGCAAAUCCAUUAAUGGCGAAUUCGUUUACUCUGCUUGGUGAGGUCAGUUCUAUCAAGAGCACAAAAUGAUAGGACACACUGAACACAACAUGUUAUGCUGUGUCUAGAAAGGGAUGUGAAUUUGAGUAUCAGUCUGUUGGCUUAGCUUUUUCGCAUUUCAUAACAAACUCGAAAUCUACGGCUCUGAGCCAAAACUUUUCUUGGUCAAUAGCAUCAGUCCCUAAGUUUCUGGAGGCUGCCUAUUUCUCAACGGGACAUCUGGAACCCACAUAUACUUUGACUUAAAAUAAAAUAAAACAAUAAUAAAUAUUUUUCAUAUUUCUCGGUCGCAGUUGUUUCUCUUUUUUUUUUUUUAUAUAUAACUCUAGCUUUGUUCCCUCUUAUCUCCAGAAUCUGAAGAAACAACACCAGAGCCAGUCAUCAUCUCUAAUCAAGAGCCAAGAUUGCCAAAUACCUCUGGUCUAGAGUCAUGAAUACCACUGGACAUUCUCACAUCAACUCUCCAUAUGCUGCAACCAUAUUCACUAACAAGGGAAAAAAACAUAUUUCAUCACAGUUUUUCUACAGAAUCUUGUGUUUAAGAUAUUUGGGAAUGAGUUUAGAUAAAUGUACAAGCUUAAGCCUGAUAACUGAGGAGUAUGUCCUACCACCAUCGCCUUGGCACCAACAGCUUCAAAAGAGUCUCAGAGAAUUUUACUUACCUGAUUAGAAAAAUACUCAUAAAAGAUAGUCAAUCCAAGCUGAUGGUUGUAUAAUAUUUUCAGGAUUGUGGUGACUCCAAUUUAAAUUCAUGUUCAAUUUGAUAGUCAUCCAGAUCAGAGGUCUCUCUUGAGUAAACUCUGCUCCAAACCACACUGUCAAAUUGUAAGUGUGGAUUGAUGACAUGGAGAUGGGAUGAUGGAUGAUGUGAAAGUUGGCUCAAAGAAGAGUGCAAGUUGGCUCACGAGAAGAGCAUGAAGGAUCCACUAUUUAAAGGAGUCCCUAAGCAAGAAUAAUUUAUAAGAGCUGUCUAGAGUUUAGAUCAAUCAAGUGUUAAAGGGUGAGGUGAGAGUACUCCAUCAUAAACCUCUCAAGGUUCUUGAGUGCUUGUAAACACAGUUCUAUUUCUAAUAUAGUUAUUAUUUCAUCUUUACAUUUGCCUUGUGACUCUGUUUUGAUCUGAGGAAAUACAUUACACUUAACACAUAUCCCUGAGUUGAAAUGAAUGGCAUCUCAAAACUGUCUUCAUUGUCACUAGAGCUCUUCAUGCAAGUAGAGACUUCUCUGUUUAUACUCACUACGCCAUAUGCAACUGUACAAGUACAUCAUAAAGAAAAGAGUUCAGAUCCAAAAGAAAAGGAUAUCUGGACGCUAGACUGGUUAUGUUUAACCUGGUGAGGAAGGAGACCACCGUAUAUAUAUGUUAAUGGCCAAGUUUGAUUUCUUUAUGCAUAUUACUGUAAAAUUCACCUAAAUCCCUUUAAAACUAGAACACCCUAAAAGCUUCUAAAAUCAUUUUAGUUUCAAAUAUGUAAACAAAAAAAAAACAUUAGUCUCAAAUAACACAACACCCAUUAAACACCAUAAAAUAAACUAUUCUGCUACAACAACAAAAAUCAUACACCACCCGAAACACAUAAAAUAAUCACACGUCAAUAGCCAACCUCAAACCUAAAAA